ACGCGGCGGCGGCGGCGGCGGCGGCGGCGCCGGUGUGAAGGCGAAAUCAGUCGUGGAUGGAGCAGAGGAAGUGUCGGCCGUCUCCUCGGAUGGUAUAAUUCUCGACGUCGGACAUUGGACAGCCUAAAGUAUCUGCUGCCAGCGUCAAUCUUACAACUGGGACAUCUAUUGUAUGGCCCGUAUCUGAAGCCAAGGCUGUAGCAAAUUGGCAAAAAGAGUUGGGAGAAUUACUUGCAGAACACUUGACAAAUUGUGGCUUAAUGUCUAACCCUCGAGUGGGUUGUUGACAAGUUCUCAGAAUGCUCUCAUUAAUUUGGUUUUGUGACUUCUGAUGAGAAGCAAGCAAUGGGUGAGGCUAUUGAGGCUAUGAAUGGGAUGGACUUGGAUGGGAGAAAUAUCACUGAGGAAAAAGCUUGGCCUCAAGGUUCAGGUAGAGACCAAGAUGGUGAUCGCAGUUCUGAUCGUGGCCCUAAUAGGGAUAGUGGUACUCAAGGAGGAUCAGGAAAUGACUGCUAAAUCAGGACUGUUCUGGUCCCUAUGAACAUUGUGGUACAGGAAACUUCCGUUCGGGGUAGAAAGAAUAUUGCUGAUAGCACAAUUGGAGGUACUGCUGUUACUUGCUGGAGCCAAAGUCCCUUCCGUUGCAUCUCUUCUUUAUUGUUCUCUGGGUGGACAAAUCUGCUUGAUCAGUCUUUUGAUGUGCGAACUUUGGCUAAAAGAUUCAACUAUUUAAUGUCCGUGAAUGCUCGUUUUUUUAGUUUGGUCUGAUGACAUUGCUUGCUUGACUUAAACAAUCAAAUUUGGCCUUAAUCUCUCAAGGCUACGAUGGGUAGUGAAUUCUCUUUCGCUUA
Molecule: long non-coding RNA, 851 nt
Organism: Eucalyptus grandis
Lineage: Eukaryota; Viridiplantae; Streptophyta; Magnoliopsida; Myrtales; Myrtaceae
Exons: 4
Source: RefSeq, a predicted model, not a curated record